This is a long non-coding RNA of Gordionus sp. m RMFG-2023, 1712 nucleotides long. RefSeq lists it as uncharacterized. Lineage: Eukaryota; Metazoa; Nematomorpha; Gordioida; Chordodea; Parachordodidae. The record is from RefSeq and is a predicted model, not a curated record. The transcript is spliced from 7 exons.
CCAAUAUGAAAAAAAACAAUAUUCAAUUUAUUCCUAUUUCAACAGUCAAGCACAGACACUACUUAUACCUACUACUACAUUGGAAAAUCUUCCUGAUAAAGUUCAAUCACCAACAUAUCUACCCAUCACAAAUUUACAAGACAAGGCUCAUUAUCUUCCUGAUAAAGUUCAAUCACUAACAUAUCUACCCAUCACAAAUUUACAAGAUAAGUAAGGAAAUAUUUCCUAUAUCAUAUAGUUCAAUAACCAACAUAUCUACCUAUCACAAAUUUACAGAUGAGGCUCAUCAUCUUCCUGAUAAAGUUCAAUCACCAACAUAUCUACCCAACUCAAAUUUAGUAGAGAAGGCUCAUUAUCUUCAUGAUGAAAACAGCCUUUGUCAAAAAGGUGUUGCAACCUAUUUACACCACAAUUUCCAUAAUGACAAUGAAAAAUUAAUGUGCAUUAAAAAUAUUUGGGAGCUUAGGAUUGGUUAUAAAUUUCCAGUGUCAUUAAAUAUGAGAAAUUUGGCAUUUCAAUUAUCAUUGCUAAAAAUAUAUAAGUGGCUUGCCUACUCAGUGAUAAAACAAGAGGCUUUUUGUAAGGUGUGUGUCAUUAUCUCACCAAGAUAUGCUGGGAAAGGGUUGCAAAAGCUAUAAACAUUAUUAGUACUGGGUAUACCAAGUGAAAAGACGCCUUAGAAAAUUUUAAUUUUCAUCAACAAAACAAAUAUCAUAUAAAUUCAUAUGAAAUAUUUGACAAUUUAAAAGCAAUAUCAAAUUGUAAAAAAAUAUCAAUAACCAAAGUUUUGGAUGAAUAAAAAUUUAAACAAGUUACAAAUGAUAUAAAAAGGAUAAUGAUAAUUAUUGAUGCUAAUAUUUGACUAGAGAGGUAGAGCAUUAAGAGCUCAUAGAAUAUCUACUGACCACUCUUCUCAUAAUGUAGGGAAUUUCAAGGAAUUGUUGAUACUUUUAUGCAAUAAUAAUGAUAACUAUAUAAAGCUUUUUAAAAGCUCUGUUUAUAAUGUCCACUGCCUUAGUCCAAGUAUUCAAAUUGAAAUAAUAAUCAUAUGCAAUAGGUUCGUAUUAAAAGAAAUUUCUACAAGAAUGAAAGCAUCACCAUUUUUUAGUGUUUUGGCGGAUGAGACUUCGGAUGUUGAUAACAUAGAGCAGUUAUCCAUAGCAGUAAGGUUUAUUGAUAUGGAAUCAGGUGAUUUCAAAAUUAAGGAACUUUUUGUUCAAUUUAUUGACUUACAUCACAUUAAAUCAGAGACGAGAGCCAAAAAAUUUUUUGCAUUCCUUCAAGACCUAGUAUAGCACAGCUCUAUAUGUUCACUGUGGUUCACACUAAAUUUGAUGAUAUCUGAGGCAUGGGAAAUUCGAGACAUCCGGAACAGUUUACAAAUAGAUAUCUAUUUAUAAUUCUAAUAUCGCUCGAAUCCUACAUAUCAGACAAAGAAAAAGAUUCCGCAGAUGCUGAAAAUCUUUAGCAGGCUAUUACGAAGCCGCAAUUUUUAAUAUCCCCCAAGCCAUAAAAUUAUUCAAAACAAUAGGGCAAAGGUUAUAAUAACAGGUGAUCCAUAAGAAGGCUUCUACCUUCGACAAAGAAUAUCAAUUGAAAUCUGUCGUUCCAACUGCAUAUCCAUACAUGGGUCAUUUACCUAAAUAUAAAUUUUUUUAAAAAAAUUCCACUUCUUUUAAUUAUAUAUCUUUAUAUUGAUUAUAGAUAUAGUA